Molecule: long non-coding RNA, 806 nt
Organism: Brachypodium distachyon (stiff brome)
Lineage: Eukaryota; Viridiplantae; Streptophyta; Magnoliopsida; Poales; Poaceae
Exons: 2
Source: RefSeq, a predicted model, not a curated record
AAUGUCUAGAUAGGUAGCUGCUUUAGCUAGCAUAUCAGCCUCCCUUAGCUUCCCGACGUUCAUGGCCGAAGAUGGCCUCCUGCACCAGGUUCCUUUUCAAAUCAAUAUCUCGCAACACCACACCAAAGGGUCCUUUAAAGUUCUCUCGUUCAUCUCCUUUACAACCCCAAGACAAUCUGUAGAGGAGCGAAAUGUUUCUUGUUUGUAAUCUUUCGCUACUGUCCGAAAAACCCAUACGGACCUGUAUACUUUCCUCCUAUCAGAUUCUUUCAGCCAGAUUGGCCAUCAGGGCCCAGGCCCAGCCCAUGCGCCUAAUACAAAGCCCAACAAGCUUCCUUCCCCUCCGGCCUCCGGGCUUCUCCUCCUCCGCCAAAGGCUCUCUCCGCCGACGGGCGGCGCUGCCCUGGCCGGCGCCGCAUCAGCGGAGCCAAAAAAUUCCUCAUCUUCCGGCGGUUCUUAGUCAUCCACCCUCCAAACCCUUCCGUCCGUCUCUGAGAGAUGGACAAGAGGGGCAAAAUAGAAGAAGAUCCAGUUCAGGGUUGGGGAUCGGCCAUCUCUCCCUGCAUUGUUGGCAGUUUAUCUGGAAAUUGUCGACCACUUCAGAGGAUAAGUGUGAACAGCAACAGUUGUACAUUUGCUAGGAAUGUUUGACACGAAAAAUACUUUUAGGAAUAAAAAUAUUUCUCUUGCGUGCCAGGGGAAAUAAAAAAAUGCGGGCGUGCCAGUGUACUGAGUACACAAAUAAAUAGUGAAGCGUGUAUUUUAUUAAUCUCGACUCGGAGAAACAAAAUUACAAGAUCCCUUUA